Molecule: long non-coding RNA, 189 nt
Organism: Sebastes umbrosus (honeycomb rockfish)
Lineage: Eukaryota; Metazoa; Chordata; Actinopteri; Perciformes; Sebastidae
Exons: 2
Source: RefSeq, a predicted model, not a curated record
CUCUCCCCCACAGAAACACUGCUCGUGAACUGCCUGAAACGCCUUGCUUGAAGUCCCGCCUUUUCUUCCGUAACGUGGUGAUGUCACCAAGUAACACAUCAGCAUAAUACCUGUCUAGCGCUUAGUUUGGCACACCCUCAAACAAAGCACUGACCUAUCAGAGCAGACUGGGCUUUUCUGGAGGGGAAG